RNAcentral lists this transfer RNA (71 nucleotides) under Drosophila pseudoobscura pseudoobscura. RNAcentral describes it as "tRNA-Glu (CTC) (tRNA-Glu-CTC-5-1)". It matches the Rfam family "tRNA". From Rfam's summary of the family: Transfer RNA (tRNA) molecules are approximately 80 nucleotides in length. Their secondary structure includes four short double-helical elements and three loops (D, anti-codon, and T loops). Further hydrogen bonds mediate the characteristic L-shaped molecular structure. tRNAs have two regions of fundamental functional importance: the anti-codon, which is responsible for specific mRNA codon recognition, and the 3' end, to which the tRNAs corresponding amino acid is attached (by aminoacyl-tRNA synthetases). tRNAs cope with the degeneracy of the genetic code in two manners: having more than one tRNA (with a specific anti-codon) for a particular amino acid; and 'wobble' base-pairing, i.e. permitting non-standard base-pairing at the 3rd anti-codon position. Lineage: Eukaryota; Metazoa; Arthropoda; Insecta; Diptera; Drosophilidae. The record is from RNAcentral.
UCCCAUAUUGUCUAGUGGUUAGGAUACCGGCUCUCACCCGGGAGGCCCGGGUUCAAUUCCCGGUAUGGGAA